Meriones unguiculatus (Mongolian gerbil) is the source of this 3542-nucleotide long non-coding RNA. RefSeq lists it as uncharacterized. The transcript is spliced from 3 exons. NCBI's taxonomy places the organism in Eukaryota, Metazoa, Chordata, Mammalia, Rodentia, Muridae. The record is from RefSeq and is a predicted model, not a curated record.
UCCUCCAAGCAAAAUGUUAAGACAGUAGAUGUCUCAAUAGUUUCUGAACACGGUGUCACACCAAGGGAUCAAAACGUGCUCUAUAUGAAUAUCCAAUUUUGUGCUCAAAAAUGCCUUGGUUUGCGUAAUGAAUGAUGCGGAUAUACGGAUCAAGAUCGGCCUCUGGGUAUGCGACCUUUCGUGACUGAAGCGUUUUGUAACCGACUCCCAUCUUUGCUGUGAAAGGCUUUUGUAAUCUGAAACAGAGCGCUUGAGGAUCUCCGCGUGGAGGGAGGAGAUGCUCCUGUGUCGUGUUAAGGAAAAAUACAGGAGUGACGUCACUGCAGUCUCUGCGAGAGCUCACCUUUCUCUCGGUAGGGUCGGGAAGAGAGAGAUGAGGAGCCUGCGGACACAGCUUCCCGCUGUAGAUGUACCUGCCAGCUGGAGAUGAGAUCUGGAGAGGGAGCUGAUGAGUCCCCCACCACCACCAGGCCUCCUGGAAAGCUCUCUUGUGGGGAGGAUCUUCUCGUGAGCCAGCCUCUGGACAUCAGCCAAGCAGGGCCUGCCAGUACACAGCCCUUAUCCCUGAACCAGAGUCUUCUGUCACUGUUUUGUGGAGGUUGAAGACCAGUCUGGACUGCAUGAGACCCUGACUCCCCAGUCCCCCAAAAGGAACAAGAUCUGUGCCUUGUUCAGCCGUCAUCAGAAAAGCUUCUUCAAGUACAGAGAGCCAUAGCCAGACAACGUGCAGAGAGUGAGAGCCGUUUAGAGAACUCAGCAUGUGCAGGAUGCCUCCAUCAAAUACCUCAGGGAAGAGGAGGAAGAAAGGGUGUAAAGGCCUGAGGUGAUGGAGGAGACAAAGAAUCACCGUCUAGACACAACAGGGCUGGCACACACAUGAUGGCCAAUGCAAAAUGAACUCUACGGUAUGCUUGGAGGCUCUUUGUGUCAUAAUGUUGUUAGGCGGGGUUUGUUUUGUUUUACUCCUGCAGGUUCUUUGCAUAUAUUAUGGCUUCUGGUGUGAGGGUCUCUUUGGAAUUUCUGUGUGUUCAAAGCCUGUGCGUCUGUGUCUGUCUGUAUUUACUUGUGCUUUUUAUUUGGCUCCUUUUCUAGUCUGGUUGUUUUGUCAUAUUUUAAUUUUUGGGUUUUUUAAAUUCAUCUUACUGUAUUUUAUUAUUAUUCCUGUAGAAGGCUGUUUUUCUUCUGAUGAAACGUAAAUGGGAUGGACCGGUGGGAGGGGAGGUUGGAAGGUUAUGAGAGGAGUAGAAUUAGGGGAAACCAUAAUCAGAACAUAGAUGAAAAUUAAAAAAAAAAAAAAAAGGAUAAGAAAGGAAGAAAGAAAAAAAGAGCCCAGGCUCCAUUCUAUCAUUGCUGGGACUCUAAAUAAAUAAAUAAAUAAAUAAAUAAAUAAAUAAACAAACAAACAAACCAAGAGGAACAGCACAUGUCUGUCAUGAUAUCAGCUACCUUUCUCCAGCUUUUAAAAGCAGCAGCCCAGACCCUUUAUCUCGCCUGAUUUCGAUUGGGUGAAAGACAGGGGUGACUGUAACAUACACCCAGCUGGCGGUAGAGUCACCUGUGAAAUACUGGAGGAACAAAGGCGAACUUAGCUUACCCUUUAGCCUACACGUCAGGGGUCAUGCAGGCAAUAUGGCGUGACUUAGUAGAACCCGGGUCUGAGCUGGCCAAAAGGCUGCAUGCGUGGGUGAUAUGUUUGAAAUGUGUGUGUGGAGAUCCAUUCGCUAGGUGUAUGGAGGCCAGGAGAGGCACUGUCACAGAAAGUCUCUGGCAGAAACAAAUUUGAGAAGAGAAGGACCGUGAGGCGCUGGUGGAGAGCCGAAAGAGCCUUGGGGAGGAUCUGCAGCUUUGUGGGCGGGGUGGGUAGUUGCAGGGUCCAGGAGCAGCAGGGGGUCCUGUAGGGGAGAGGAGGGUACGGAAACCGUGCAAACGUCAGGCUCUUGCCUAUCUGGUAAAGAAGGGCUCAGGAGGCUGAGUGCGUUAGGAGGCAGAAGAGAUGGGGCUUUGCAGUGGCACCCACAUACAGAACGCGGGCUGGAGGUACGGAUCAGCAUGAAGGGCAGAGGUGGGGCUCGGAGGACGCACACCGGCGGAGUAGGCGUCCAGGCCUCGCUUGGCUGCUCUGCUGUCGGGUGUGGGAGCACAGCUGGGGACCAGCAGAUGCGUCGAGCUUGAGGGCACAGUUCAUCACGGGGCCUGGAGCAUCCUACCCGCUCUGACCUUGAGGUGGCCAUCACUGAGGCGGUUCCAGGGUGGCUGCCCAGGUGAUCCGUGUUGUAAACUAUGGCUGCUAACACUUGUAAAGUAGGCAGUGAGAGAAAGGUGUGUGGAGGUAGGACUGGAGGCACGUUACAGAUGAGGGGCUGACUGAAGGCAAUAAUUCAGAUUUUAAUGAAGGAAACAGGAAUGAUUUUUACCUUGUUUUUCCCCCUCCAUGUUAGUGUAUGACUGAAUGCUCAGAAAGAAAAAAAAAUUCUCCCGAAGUUGUGUACUUGAGCAUCUUUUGGAUAUAUGCCUAGGAGAGGUAUAGCUGGAUCUUGAGGUAGCACUAUUCCUAAUUAUCUGAGAAAGCACCAGAUUGAUUUCCAAAGUGGCUGUACAAGGUUAUAUUCCCACCAGCAAUGGAGGAGGGUUCCCCUUUCUCCACAUCCUCUCCAGCAUGUAUUGGACAUUUGCUCAACCAUGUUCAUAGCAGCUUUAUCCAUAAUACCCAGAAUCUGGAAACAACCCAGAUGUCCCUCAGUUGAGGAAUGGAUACAGAAAUUGUGGUACAUUUACACAAUGGCAUACUACUCAGCAAUUAAAACAAAGAAAUCGUGAAAUUUGCAGGCAAAUGGUGGGAACUAGAAAAGAUUAUCCUGAGGGAGGUAUCCCAGAAGUAGAAAGACACACAUGGUAUAUAUGCACUUAUAAGUGGAUAUUAGACAUAUAAGAUAAACAUACUAAAAUCUGUACACCUAACGAAGCUAAGCAAGGAGGAGGACCCUGGGUAAGAUGAUCAAUCCUCAUUCAGAAAGGCAAACAGGAUAAACAUCGGAAGAGGGGGAAAACAAGGAACAGGACAGGAGCCUACCACAGAGGGCCUCUGAAAGACUUUACCCAGCAGGGUAUCAAAGCAGAUGCUGAGACCCAUAGCCAAACUUUGGGCAGAAUGCAGGGAAUCUUAUGAAAGAAGGGGGAGAUGAAAGACCUGUAGGGAACAGGAGCUCCACAAGGAGAGCAACAGAACCAAAAAAACUAGGCACAGGGGUCUUUUCUGAGACUGGUACUCCAACUAAGGACCAUUCAUGGAGAUAACCUAGAACCCCUGCACAGAAGGAGCCUAUGGCAGCUCAUUGUCUAAGUGGGUUCCCCAGUAAUGGAAACAGGGACUGUCUCUGACAUGAGCUCAGUGGCCUGCUCUUUGAUCACCUUCCCCUGAUGGGGGAGCAGCCUUACCAGACCACAGAGGAAGACAAUGCAACCAGUCCUGAUGAGACCUGAUAGGCUAGGGUCAGAUGGAAGGGGAGGAGGACCUCUCCUAUCAGUGGACUUGGGGAGGGGCA